This is a long non-coding RNA of Zea mays, 747 nucleotides long. RefSeq lists it as uncharacterized. The record is from RefSeq and is a predicted model, not a curated record. The transcript is spliced from 2 exons. NCBI's taxonomy places the organism in Eukaryota, Viridiplantae, Streptophyta, Magnoliopsida, Poales, Poaceae.
GUCACCCUCGCCUUCCUUCUCUUUUUAUCCUUUUCCUUGAGCAUACCUCCGACCGGGUUGUUUGAUGGAUCUUGGGUUGCUGGGAUGCUGUGCUCCGUGGCCAUGAGCCAAGAUAAGUUUCCUCUUCUGAGUUCCCUCGACCCCCUUUUUAGGCUUUGAUAUUUCCCCCCUUCUCCUUUCGUUGCGGGGCGGUUGCACUGCCACCCAUUGGACUACUUCGGUCGGGCUCCUCGUCUCCUAUCCCUUACCCUCAGACAUCUUCAGGGAGUUGCGACGCUUCCCGCGCGGCGCAAGAGGUCGUCGAGGCCAAGACCGAGCUGCUUCAGACGCAACUUUCUGAAGCCGAUGGUCGUGUCAUUGAUAAGCCUUGGGGCCGAUCUAGAGAAACUGCGCAUCGCCUGGGCCAACUUCUGGACUACAUUGGGGCACGUGGCACUUCCCUGGUCGAGCAAUUAGACAACGCACCCGAGUCCCAUCUGGGAUAUCAUCGACUUUGGUGUUCACCGGGGAGCCGCGAUGACGUUGUUGAUGGGGGAGAUUUGCUCCGACCGCCGUCUUUCGGAUAUCAUCAGCCUUCCCCUGUCCCUUUCAGAUGAGGGGUUGGAAGACCUACUAGAAGGUUACGACGAGGUGUCCAGUCAUGUUGUGCUUAGGGUGUCGGCUCAUGACAUCGUGCGUGAUGCGCGUUGAUCGUGAUUUAUCGUGCCUCGGUGCUGCUUCCCUAAAGUAAUAAAGUGGACUUUGCUC